This 463-nucleotide ribosomal RNA is filed under the name uncultured bacterium. RNAcentral's name for it is "bacterial SSU rRNA". It matches the Rfam family "Bacterial small subunit ribosomal RNA", at positions 917 to 1382 of the family's 1533-position model. The record is from RNAcentral.
GGGCCCGCACAAGCGGUGGAGCAUGUGGUUUAAUUCGACGCAACGCGCAGAACCUUACCAGGGUUUGACAUCCUGCGACCGCCUCCUAAUAGGGGUUUUCCCGCAAGGGACGCAGAGACAGGUGCUGCAUGGCUGUCGUCAGCUCGUGUCGUGAGAUGUUGGGUUAAGUCCCGCAACGAGCGCAACCCUCGCCUUUAGUUGCCAUCAUUCAGUUGGGCACUCUAGAGGGACCGCCGGCGACAAGCCGGAGGAAGGUGGGGAUGACGUCAAGUCCUCAUGGCCCUUACACCCUGGGCUACACACGUGCUACAAUGGCGGUGACAGUGGGCAGCUACUCAGCGAUGAGCGGCUAAUCCCAAAAAACCGCCCCAGUUCAGAUUGCACUCUGCAACUCGAGUGCAUGAAGGUGGAAUCGCUAGUAAUCGCAGAACAGCAGGCUGCGGUGAAUACGUUCCCGGGCCUU